RNAcentral lists this non-coding RNA (906 nucleotides) under Myron richardsonii. Lineage: Eukaryota; Metazoa; Chordata; Lepidosauria; Squamata; Homalopsidae. The record is from RNAcentral.
AGGUCUUGGUCUUAAACCUCAUGCUGUCUUUACCCCAUACCCAUACAUGCAAGCCUCACCAUCACAGUGAAGUAGCCUACUAAUAAUAAACUAGAGCCGGUAUCAGGCAAUCGCCCACAACGCCAAGCAAUAAGCCACACCCCCACGGGCCUGCAGCAGUACUUAAUAUUAGGCCAUAAGCGGAAGCUUGACCUAAUAAUGGGGCCUAUAGGGCCGGUUAAUCUCGUGCCAGCGACCGCGGUUAUACGAUAGACCCAAGACAACAUAAUCGGCGUAAAGCACGACUAAAAUAACAGUCACCCAAUUAGAGUUGAGGGUAGAGCUGGGCUGUAAAAAGCCAAAUCACAGCCUCUAAUAACAAACUAAUUCAACUCGUGAAAGCAGGGGGACAAACUAAGAUUAGAUACCUUACUAUGCCCCGCCGUAACACGGCAAUCAAAUAACCAAUUGCCCGCCAAAUAACUACGAGUAAAAACUUAAAAUUUAAAAGACUUGACGGUACUUCACAUCAACCUAGAGGAGCCUGUCUAAUAACCGAUAAUCCACGAUUAACCCCACCCGUUUUUGCCUAACAGUCUAUAUACCGCCGUCGCCAGCCUACCUUGUAAAAGAAAGAAAGUAAGCCAAAUAGUAACCACUAACACGACAGGUCGAGGUGUAACAAAUAAGCGGGCCAAGGAUGGGCUACAUUUUCUUUAUAAGAACAAACCAAUAAAGAAUGAAAUAACAACCUGAAGGCGGAUUUAGCAGUAAGAUGGGAACAUAAUACCCACCUGAAACCAGUGCAAUGAAGUGCGUACACACCGCCCGUCAUCCCUGUAAAAUAACACAAAUAUUCAUAAACACAUACCUACCCCUAAAGCAGGGCAAGUCGUAACAUGGUAAGCGUACUGGAAAGUGUGCUUA